Oryza sativa Japonica Group (Japanese rice) is the source of this 858-nucleotide long non-coding RNA. RefSeq lists it as uncharacterized. Lineage: Eukaryota; Viridiplantae; Streptophyta; Magnoliopsida; Poales; Poaceae. The record is from RefSeq and is a predicted model, not a curated record.
UUUAUUCACUUACAUCACUUUUUUCUUUUUCCUCCUGAGGUUGCCUCUUAUAUGUGUAGUGGCUAUUCCUCUAUUUACUUCUAUCCGCCUAAUUAUUUGAGUCUAUGCAAUAUCUUGGCAAUAGUGCUAAGAAUCUUUAAGCAUUCCCAACUCUCUACCUCAGCUAUAUGUUAAAUAAAUUGCCACGUAAGAAAAAAAAAGCUGAGGUGAGGAAACAGUUAACGAGGAAAGGGGAAAAAGAUAAGAAAACAGUUAACGAGGCUACAGCGUAAGCAGCGGCGAAGGCAGCGCUCCCCUACCCUUCCUCCCAACCUCCCAUAUAUGGCUAGAGAAGGGGAGCGACAGCGGCGGCGGCCACUGCAGGCGGUGGCAGAGGCGGCGCAGUCCCCUCCCCUCCCUCUCUUCCAGUUCCAGAUUUGGGUGGAGAAGGGGAGUGACGGCGGCAGCGGAGGCGGUGUGGUCCCCUCCCUCCCCUCCCUCCCUCCCUCCCAGAUCCGAUCGGACGAGGGGAGCUACAACAGCGGCGGCCACGGCACAUGGCUGAGGAGGGCACUGUCCCCUCCCCUCCCUCCUAGAUCCAACUGGAGGGGAGAGGGCAGCGGUGGUGGCCAUAGCAAGCGACGGCGGCUGUGUGGCCCACCUCUCCCCUCCCUCUCCCUCUCCCUACCAGAUCUGACUGGAGUGGGGAGGGUGGCGGCAAGUGGGGUUGGUGGCAGGGACGAUGGACCUUCAGCCAAGUUAAACAACAAAAGCUAUGGUGAGAUUACUCACUACUAUUGAUGAGAUACUAGAAGAAAUUUGUGGGUUGUAAUUCUAAUUGGAUUUCUAUCUUACUCGUGUGCCUAUUAUUUUGAUUCA